UGGGGAAUAUUGCACAAUGGGCGAAAGCCUGAUGCAGCGACGCCGCGUGAGGGAUAACGGCCUUCGGGUUGUAAACCUCUUUCAGCAGGGACGAAGCGCAAGUGACGGUACCUGCAGAAGAAGCACCGGCUAACUACGUGCCAGCAGCCGCGGUAAUACGUAGGGUGCAAGCGUUGUCCGGAAUUACUGGGCGUAAAGAGUUCGUAGGCGGUUUGUCGCGUCGUUUGUGAAAACCAGCAGCUCAACUGCUGGCUUGCAGGCGAUACGGGCAGACUUGAGUACUGCAGGGGAGACUGGAAUUCCUGGUGUAGCGGUGAAAUGCGCAGAUAUCAGGAGGAACACCGGUGGCGAAGGCGGGUCUCUGGGCAGUAACUGACGCUGAGGAACGAAAGCGUGGGUAGCGAACAGG
Molecule: ribosomal RNA, 409 nt
Filed under: bacterium
Lineage: Bacteria
Also listed under: 1 other name
Description: partial 16S ribosomal RNA
Rfam family: Bacterial small subunit ribosomal RNA
Source: RNAcentral